RNAcentral lists this ribosomal RNA (625 nucleotides) under Salmonella enterica subsp. enterica serovar Infantis. RNAcentral's name for it is "partial 23S ribosomal RNA". It matches the Rfam family "Bacterial large subunit ribosomal RNA", at positions 711 to 1252 of the family's 2925-position model. The record is from RNAcentral. Lineage: Bacteria; Pseudomonadati; Pseudomonadota; Gammaproteobacteria; Enterobacterales; Enterobacteriaceae.
AGACCCGAAACCCGGUGAUCUAGCCAUGGGCAGGUUGAAGGUUGGGUAACACUAACUGGAGGACCGAACCGACUAAUGUUGAAAAAUUAGCGGAUGACCUGUGGCUGGGGGUGAAAGGCCAAUCAAACCGGGAGAUAGCUGGUUCUCCCCGAAAGCUAUUUAGGUAGCGCCUCGUGAAUUCAUCUCCGGGGGUAGAGCACUGUUUCGGCUAGGGGGCCAUCCCGGCUUACCAACCCGAUGCAAACUGCGAAUACCGGAGAAUGUUAUCACGGGAGACACACGGCGGGUGCUAACGUCCGUCGUGAAGAGGGAAACAACCCAGACCGCCAGCUAAGGUCCCAAAGUCAUGGUUAAGUGGGAAACGAUGUGGGAAGGCCCAGACAGCCAGGAUGUUGGCUUAGAAGCAGCCAUCAUUUAAAGAAAGCGUAAUAGCUCACUGGUCGAGUCGGCCUGCGCGGAAGAUGUAACGGGGCUAAACCAUGCACCGAAGCUGCGGCAGCGAACGUAUCACUUAAAGCGAUUCAGCGGGUUACGAUUGACGGAGCGAAGCGACGUCAAAGCGUAUACAAAGUCGAGUCGGUUUAAGGAUACGUUCGUUGGGUAGGGGAGCGUUCUGUAAGCCUGC